Molecule: ribosomal RNA, 161 nt
Filed under: uncultured bacterium
Lineage: Bacteria
Description: partial 16S rRNA
Rfam family: Bacterial small subunit ribosomal RNA
Source: RNAcentral
GGAAUCUUCCACAAUGGGCGAAAGCCUGAUGGAGCAACGCCGCGUGUGUGAUGAAGGGUUUCGGCUCGUAAAACACUGUUGUAAGAGAAGAAUGACAUUGAGAGUAACUGUUCAAUGUGUGACGGUAUCUUACCAGAAAGGGACGGCUAAAUACGUGCCAA